AGGUGACAUAUAAAUAAUAUGGAACAAUGUUGUUGGGACGAGAUGAAAUUCAUCCGCUAAUAUCGCGUGAGGAAAUUGCAAGUCCAAAAAAUCGGCUAGACGCGACAAAUUACGAAUUUCAUAAAAACAAAUUAGUUAUAUAAAAAAUAAGGUGAUAGUGGUACAGACACACAUAAAUAAAAUAAAAUAAAAAAGUUAAUUCGUAAAUUCUCUUUCGGCGUAAAAUGACUCAAGGUUUGUCGUACUUACUAAAUAAAAUUUCAACCUGACACUUUUAAUCAAGUAAAAAAAAAAAUCAAAAAUUUUAGAUUGUUUAGUAGAAAAGAAAGUAUAUUACAUAUAU
RNAcentral lists this long non-coding RNA (343 nucleotides) under Vigna radiata. RNAcentral describes it as "long non-coding RNA (VRAD_LNC000843)". The record is from RNAcentral. Lineage: Eukaryota; Viridiplantae; Streptophyta; Magnoliopsida; Fabales; Fabaceae.